RNAcentral lists this ribosomal RNA (116 nucleotides) under Diaphorina citri (Asian citrus psyllid). The record is from RNAcentral. Lineage: Eukaryota; Metazoa; Arthropoda; Insecta; Hemiptera; Psyllidae.
GCGCGGCGAUAGCACGUUGAACGCACCAGAUUCCAAUAGAUCACUGAAGUUAAGCAACGCUUUGCAUGGUCGGUAUCCGGAUGGGUGACUAUUGAGGAAAUUGCGUACUAAGUACU